Molecule: long non-coding RNA, 3115 nt
Filed under: Homo sapiens (human)
Lineage: Eukaryota; Metazoa; Chordata; Mammalia; Primates; Hominidae
Description: HSALNT0014547
Source: RNAcentral
UCAUAGAUAUGGUUUCUCUCUGAUACUGAACGGCUUCCAAUUUCAAGUAGAAUGCUACAUCAGAAGAAUAACGAUGGGAAGAGAACCGGUUUCUUGUGUAAUCCAACAUGUUUUAGUCUGCGCAUUACAAACCAUUAUUUGAAGAAGGGUGGACAGGCUCUGGUAGCAUGUUAGUCGGCUGAGUGGCGGAAGAUGGGGCGGGAAAGUUGACGGAGACGGGAAAGGCGCUGUCGGUGACAUCACGGAUAGGGCGACUUCUAUGUAGAUGAGGCAGCGCAGGGGCCGCUGCUUCUCCACCUGCUGCUUCGCCACGAAGGAGUUCCGUGCUGUGGGAGCGAGUCCAGGACAGCUGGUCGGACCUCAGAGUCCCAGCUGUGUGUCAGGGCUAGGAGGGCUCGGGGACGCGCGGGGCAAGUGACCGUGCGUGUAAAGGUUGAGGCGUAUGGAGCUGUGGCGGGGCGGAGGUGUGCAAAUCCGUAGUUACCUGGGAGGGAAGAUAGUAUUGUGAAGAUCGUUUUUCCAGAGUGAGGUUUUUUCUAUUGUGUGUACUGAUUCUUGCGAUUUUCCUAAAUGUAGGAAAUUCCACUGCAUAAUUUGUGGUAGUGGGGGGGGCUGCGUUAGUGAAUUCCGCUGAGAUACUGCAGUGCAAAACGUGAGCUCUACGCGAAGGGCUACUCUUAGUUUCUAUGGGUUUGUAGCUUUGACGGCAUGUUAAGUGUCGUCCUUACUGUCUCAAGCGUGAGAAACAGAAAGUAUCGCGUUACGGUCCUCUCCGCCGCUGUCGUGAGCUUAUUUAACACAAACUAAGUGGCCGCAGGGCUCUUCCCCAACCUUUCUAUGUGGGGCUGCUUUUUGCAGACUUUGCUUCAUGGUCUCCAGUCUCUUGGGUUCUCUGUGAAAACCUUCGUGUUUUUUCGUAGCCUCCAGAGUCACCCUUCACACAGCCUCUGCUUCUAACCGCAGCCCCCGCAGUAGUUUGUAGGAUUUCUGUGCUAGCAGGGAAUGUGUUCUCACCUCCUAGAGCCAGGUAGAAACUCUACGCAGACGGGUGCUGUUCUUUGGGAUGAGAGCAGUGUCCCCGUUCCGUUGUAGACACAACACGCUUGCUUUCUGUAGGGGAACGGCUCUCCCCGCGCCCAGGUGCCCUUGCUUAUAUUAACCAAGGCCCGUAGGUCGGAAUCGCAGUCUCACCUGUCGGCAGAAUGUGCUGCGAUCUACCCCAACUACCCGAACUACCCAGCAAUAAAAUGGGACACAUUACGGAAACAUGAGAUAAAAUGGAUCAUCUCAAAAACAUUAUGCCGAGUGAUGAAAAGAGUGCAUCCUGUGUGGCGCCAUCAAGGUGAAUUUCUAGAACAGGAUGAUUCAGCAAUUUCCCCGUGGUCCGGGCCACUGUGAUAACUCGGUUUCUGGGACCCCGAACACCGAAGAGGGAGACGAAGAGGGUGACAUCGCGAGGCUGAGACAGCGGGAGCAGAAGGGACACCGAGACCUGCAGCGCAGAGCUUCUGAACAUCAGCGGAAUCUCCAUUCCAUUUAGGAAGUAAAACACGGCCUUACCAUGCCAAUGAAACACAAAGGUUCCACCGAGACUCGAACUCGGAUCGCUGGAUUCAGAGUCCAGAGUGCUUACCAUUACACCAUGGAACCAUGCAACAUAAAGUUGUUAAAGGUGUCUGAAUUAGUUCCCACCCACCCAUGUUAAGGCAUUUCUUUAGAUUCCACAAGCAACACUUAAGGUAGGUGGACCUGCAGGAAGGAGCCAUCCUUCUUGCUUUCUCUCUGCCCUCUCCGUUGAUCGACUUCUGUCAUUUCAUUUGCACCCCGGAAAAAGAGGCAAAAUCCACUGUGGGUUUAGGGCCAGAGAAGAGCCCUUGAAGCCUCGGUCAUAGAGUUUCCUGUGCCGAGGUGAAAUUCCUUCCUUCCCUUCCCCUCCCUCCCUCCCUUCCUCCCUCCCUCCCUCCCUCCCUCCCUCCCUCCCUCCCUUCCUUCCUUCCUUCCUUCCUUCCUUCAUUCCUUCUUUCCUUUCUCUCUCUCUCUUUCUUUCUUUCAUUCAAGCUUCGGUGGCAGAGUUUCCUGUGCCGAGAUUAACUUCCCUUCCCUUCCCUCCCCUCCCCUCCCCUCCCUUCCCUUCCCUUCCUCUCUUUUCAUUGAGACAGAGUCUCCUUCUGUUGCUCAGACUGGAGUGCAAUGCAGUGGCAGUGGGUGAUCUCCCCUCACUGCAACCUCCAUCUGUCGGGUUCAAGUGAUUGUAAUCCCCAGUGGCUGGGAUUACAAGCAUGGGCCACCAUGUCCGGCUAAUUUUUGUAUAUUUGGUAGAGAUGAGGUUUUGCCAUGUUGGCCAGGCUGGUCUCAAACUCUUGACCUCAAGUGAUUCGCCCGCCUUGGCCUCCGGAAGUGCUGGGAUUACAGGCGUGAGCCACCGCACCCAGCCCGGAGAUGAAAUAUCUGCAAAAUUUCUGUUAUUUUCUUUAUGCUUUCCCUCUUUUCCAUUUGCCCAAGGAGGCCAGAUGAUUGUCAAAACAGGACGUGGGACUUCCUGGGCACCUUGCCCCCUUCCUCCCUGUAGUAUAUAACAGAAGACAGCAAUCAAGUGAGAUUGGGAAGCAGGGAAUCCUUUAUUUUUUUAUUCAUAUACUUCUAUGUUUGUUUGGUUGGUUGGUUUUAACAAAAUUUUCUCACCAGAAAUGGAGAUUUGUUGGAUUUAAAAUAAAAGCAAUCAGCCAUGUUUUACAUUUCUGUAAAACACUCAAACCAGGCCAUACUCUCCUAUUUUGACUCAAAAUCAGCCAUAUACUGUCCAGGUCAGGAGGCAGGCCCCUGACAUUUAAGCACAGUGUGUUUUCUCAGAAUUGGCCAAGUUGAUGCCAUUCCAGUUUCUCAAUAUAUCAUGACCCAUUAAUUUCAGUCUUUAAAAGUAAACACGUAUUGUUACUGAAAGCCCAGGAAUUCGGUCUAGGCCCUGCUGCUCAGCUCACAGAAAGCCAAUCAUUAAGACAUUGAGUAUUGCUGAGGAAGAAGGCUUUAAUUGGGUGUUGCAGCUGAGGAGAUGGGAGAUCAGUCUUAAAUCAAUCUCCCUGAUCAACUAAAGUGAGGGGUUUAUGUAGCAGGGAAG